RNAcentral lists this ribosomal RNA (254 nucleotides) under uncultured bacterium. RNAcentral describes it as "partial 16S ribosomal RNA". It matches the Rfam family "Bacterial small subunit ribosomal RNA", at positions 524 to 776 of the family's 1533-position model. The record is from RNAcentral.
UACGUAGGGUGCGAGCGUUGUCCGGAAUUAUUGGGCGUAAAGAGCUCGUAGGCGGUCUGUCGCGUCGAUCGUGAAAACUUGGGGCUUAACCCUGAGCUUGCGGUCGAUACGGGCAUGACUGGAGUUCGGCAGGGGAGACUGGAAUUCCUGGUGUAGCGGUGAAAUGCGCAGAUAUCGGGAGGAACACCAGUAGCGAAGGCGGCUCGCUGGGCCACACCUGACGCUGAGACGCGAAAGCUAGGGGAGCGAACAGG